RNAcentral lists this transfer RNA (54 nucleotides) under Longidorus vineacola. RNAcentral's name for it is "tRNA-Glu". Lineage: Eukaryota; Metazoa; Nematoda; Enoplea; Dorylaimida; Longidoridae. The record is from RNAcentral.
GCUCUUAUGGUGUAUCUCAACACACCUUCUUUUCACGAAGGAAAAGGUAGAGUA